GACGAACGCUGGCGGCGUGCCUAAUACAUGCAAGUCGAGCGAAGUUUUUCUGGUGCUUGCACUAGAAAAACUUAGCGGCGAACGGGUGAGUAACACUUAAAGAAACUGCCUCAUAGACGGGGACAACUAUUGGAAACGAUAGCUAAUACCGGAUAACAUUAUUUCUCGCAUGAGAGAUAUUUAAAAGUUGGUUAUGCUAACACUAUGAGAUGGCUUUGCGGUGCAUUAGCUAGUUGGUGGGGUAAAGGCCCACCAAGGCGACAAUGCAUAGCCGACCUGAGAGGGUGAUCGGCCUCACUGGGACUGAGACACGGCCCAUACUCCUACGGGAGGCUUUGUAGGGAAUCUUCCGCAUGGGCGAAAGCCUGACGGAUCAACGCCUCGUGAGUGAAGAAUAUUUCUUUUCUUAAAUCUCUGUUGUUUGGUAAAUUGUGUAUGUGGGAAUUAUUUAUAUUGAGACGGUUCCGAAUCAGAAUGCAUCGGUUAACUACUUGUCGUCUCCUAGGGAUUUCUUAGGUGGCAUGCGUUACUGGAUUUAUUGGUCGUUUGUGCGGUCAUUUGGUAUAAUAAUUUUGAUGAUAAAUGUCCCGGCUCAUGCGGUUAUGGUUUUGUAACUUUUGGUCUUUGUUUUGUGAGUGUUCAUCGUAAUGCUUUUUUUCUAUUAUUUCUUGUGAUUGGAUGUAUUGUGUGGUGAUUGUGUUUUUUUUAUUUUAUUGUUAUGUGAUGUUAUGUAUUGUGUGAUGUUGUUUUUAUGUUCUGUUGUGGUGCGUAUGUGUUAUUUUGAUUUUGGUCUUGUGUAUUGUGUUGCCCUUGUGGAAAAAAAUAAAUAAAAAAUAUACUGUGCCUCUCUGCUACUCCCCCCUGUGCUAGCUUGUGUGAUGAAGCAUGCUGUCCUGUACUUCUGCUUUAUG
Molecule: ribosomal RNA, 911 nt
Filed under: uncultured Parvimonas sp.
Lineage: Bacteria; Bacillati; Bacillota; Tissierellia; Tissierellales; Peptoniphilaceae
Description: bacterial SSU rRNA
Rfam family: Bacterial small subunit ribosomal RNA (bases 4-528)
Source: RNAcentral